Rhodoferax ferrireducens is the source of this 101-nucleotide non-coding RNA. Lineage: Bacteria; Pseudomonadati; Pseudomonadota; Betaproteobacteria; Burkholderiales; Comamonadaceae. The record is from Rfam.
GGGCAGGAUAUGUGAAGUUAGCUAACCGGCGAGCCGGUUAUCUAUCUUCACUUCCCCUUAUUCGCACUUCGUGCUCAACGGGUCUCCUGCUCUGCGAGGCC